This 253-nucleotide ribosomal RNA is filed under the name uncultured bacterium. Its description in RNAcentral is "partial 16S ribosomal RNA". It matches the Rfam family "Bacterial small subunit ribosomal RNA", at positions 524 to 776 of the family's 1533-position model. The record is from RNAcentral.
UACGUAGGGUGCGAGCGUUGUCCGGAAUUAUUGGGCGUAAAGGGCUCGUAGGCGGUCUGUCACGUCGGGAGUGAAAACCCAGGGCUCAACCCUGGGCCUGCAUUCGAUACGGGCAGACUAGAGUGUGGCAGGGGAGACUGGAAUUCCUGGUGUAGCGGUGAAAUGCGCAGAUAUCAGGAGGAACACCGGUGGCGAAGGCGGGUCUCUGGGCCGAUACUGACGCUGAGGAGCGAAAGCGCGGGGAGCGAACAGG